AUUGAACGCUGGCGGCAGGCCUAACACAUGCAAGUCGAGCGAGUGGCGGACGGGUGAGUAAUGUAUGGGGACUGCCCGAUAGAGGGGGAUAACUACUGGCAACGGUGGCUAAUACCGCAUACUGUAGGAUAACCCAAAUGGGAUUAGCUAGUAGGUAAGGUAAUGGCUUACCUAGGCGACGAUCCCUAGCUGGUCUGAGAGGAUGAUCAGCCACACUGGGACGGAGACACGGCCCAGACUCCUACGGAGGCAGCAGUGGGGAAUAUUGCACAAUGGGGGCAAGCCUGAUGCAGCCAUGCCGCGUGUAUGAAGAAGGCCCUAGGGUUGUAAAGUACUUUCAGUCGGGAGGCGUUACCGACAGAAGAAGCACCGGCUAACUCCGUGCCAGCAGCCGCGGUAAUAC
Molecule: ribosomal RNA, 403 nt
Filed under: uncultured bacterium
Lineage: Bacteria
Description: partial 16S ribosomal RNA
Rfam family: Bacterial small subunit ribosomal RNA
Source: RNAcentral